UUUGAAACAGUGAAAGGCACGUUAAUACCGGAAGGAUCACAUGAAUUCAAUUAGCAAACAGAAAGUAUAUAUGAUAGAGGUUGUAGAAUAGCCGACUUGUAUCAAAAUAAUAAUAAUGAAGUUAACCGAAAACGUAACCCUAACGAUGAUUAAAUAGUACCGAAUAAGCCAGAAACCUUAGAUAAUGAUUAAAUAUUACGGGUCAAAGAACUUUCACCACAAUAU
Molecule: long non-coding RNA, 225 nt
Filed under: Panax ginseng (ginseng)
Lineage: Eukaryota; Viridiplantae; Streptophyta; Magnoliopsida; Apiales; Araliaceae
Description: long non-coding RNA (PGIN_LNC008150)
Source: RNAcentral